UUCCAUGCAGCUGCUAAAAUCCAAAAUGCUGGUGAAGCACGGCGCAGAGUAUCGGCAGAUCCUCAAGGACAGUCAAACUGAGAGAGCCUUCUGGGUCACCAACAUCAGCAAUAUCACAUCGCUGUUUGGGAAGUACUUCAACCCAUCCGAGAGCAUGGACUUCCUCCUCGUUGCUAUCGACGGCGUGAGAGACUCCAGCGUCCAUGACGCAGUGACAGCCAGGAACAUGCUGCAUAAGAUCCUGGAGGUUCCCGGCCUAGGCUUGGUGAGGGUGUCAGAGGCUGUGAGGAGCAUUCAUAAGCACCUG
Mauremys reevesii (Reeves's turtle) is the source of this 307-nucleotide long non-coding RNA. RefSeq lists it as uncharacterized. The record is from RefSeq and is a predicted model, not a curated record. NCBI's taxonomy places the organism in Eukaryota, Metazoa, Chordata, Testudines, Geoemydidae. The transcript has 4 exons.